Biomphalaria pfeifferi is the source of this 780-nucleotide non-coding RNA. NCBI's taxonomy places the organism in Eukaryota, Metazoa, Mollusca, Gastropoda, Planorbidae. The record is from the annotation of a GenBank genome assembly.
UUUAGCCAACCUGUAGUGAAUGGUAGUGCCGUUUACGAGAGCUUUUGCUAUGAUGAUUUAUAAUGAUUUAUAUUGAAGACAAUCUUUCCCUAUUAUGGUUUUCUCAAAUUAAAUAUUUGUUUAAAAGAUAAAGACAUAAAACACGGAAUUUUUUACGAGUCUUAUUGUUUUAUUUGUAAUUAUUUUUUUUUUACAUUUUUUUUUUCGAAAGGAGCAAAAUCACAAAGACUUCAUGUAAGACACAAAAAAAAUAAAAAAAUAAACUAAUAUUUUAUUUUGCAGAUUUCUAGAACUUGAAAACUAUUCCGUGGCACAUUAUCGCGUAUUAGAACUGUACAAGAGGAUAUUAUUAAGUCAUGUACAGUUAUUUUGUACUGUCAAAAACUUUUUCUGGUUGCUCAAGGAUUGGACAGCAUUUGAAUUAGAUAUGUCAUCUAACCUAUGUUUAACCUAUUUAAAAAGGUCUAUAUUUAUUUACUUGAAGUUACUCUGCAUACUUUUUUUAACGGCGAGAUGUUUUUCUGAUAACAUGUAUCAGUUAAAUCUAAUUUUAAAUGACAUUGUUACGGUAUUCAUUUCCUUGAUGUAAAGCUACAUACCAUUAGUUUCAGACAUUAUCAAGACGUUGUUUAUUCUUCUAGCUUUAUUUUCAAAUUCUGGGAUAGUCUUUCCUAGGGAUUUUCUACAUGGAGGCCGAUCCAUAAAUAGCUAACUUUUUGGAGUAUCCGGUGUACAGGAUAAAAUGUUGAUGAGCUAUGUGGUUUUUUUUUUUUUUUGUUA